UACGGGGGGGGUAAGCGUUGUUCGGAAUUACUGGGCGUAAAGGGCUCGUAGGCGGCCAACUAAGUCAUACGUGAAAUCCCUCAGCUUAACUGGGGAACUGCGUGUGAUACUGGAUGGCUUGGAUUUGGGAGAGGGAUGCGGAAUUCCAGGUGUAGCGGUGAAAUGCGUAGAUAUCUGGAGGAACACCGGUGGCGAAGGCGGCAUCCUGGACCAAUAUUGACGCUGAGGAGCGAAAGCCAGGGGAGCAAACGGGAUUAGAUACCCCGGUAGUCCUGGCCCUAAACGAUGAAUGCUUGGUGUAGCGGGUAUCGAUCCCUGCUGUGCCGAAGCUAACGCAUUAAGCAUUCCGCCUGGGGAGUACGGUCGCAAGGCUGAA
Molecule: ribosomal RNA, 376 nt
Filed under: uncultured bacterium
Lineage: Bacteria
Description: bacterial SSU rRNA
Rfam family: Bacterial small subunit ribosomal RNA
Source: RNAcentral